RNAcentral lists this long non-coding RNA (1535 nucleotides) under Cyanistes caeruleus (blue tit). RNAcentral's name for it is "lncRNA (ENSCCEG00000005091.1)". Lineage: Eukaryota; Metazoa; Chordata; Aves; Passeriformes; Paridae. The record is from RNAcentral.
CGCCCACCGGGGCGGCUCGAGCAGAAGCCAAAUAUUUGACUGUGCAAAUUGGCGGCCGGAUCGAUUGUGCUGCGGCUGGCGGGGGCUCGUGACAGACGGACACUCCUCCUGCUGCACCCCCUGCUCCUGCACCCCCUUAUGAACCGGAGCAGCCCUACCUGGGGCACCCCUUCCUCAGAGCAUCCCCUUCCUGGGGCACCCCAUUCCUGAAACCUCCCUUUCUUGGAGCUCCAUCCCUGGAGCAUCCCGUCUGUAGUGUCCCCCCUCCACAGCGCACUCCCUCCCUGGGGUAACCCCUUCCCCAGAGCACCCCUUCCCUGCUGUACCCCGGUCCUAGAGCCCCCCUUCCUUCGUGCACCCACCACGGGACCCCCGCUGGGGCAGGGGGUGGGGACAGAUGUCCCCCCACGAGGCUGCAGGGACAGGGUGAUGUCCCCAGGUGGGAACUGGGUGGGCACCUCAAUACCCACAAAGGGGAACAGGCGGGAGGGGGCGAGCGUGGUGUCACUACACGGCACUGGUGUCACCAGUGUCACUGCAUGGCGUCUGUUGUCACAGGUGUCACUGCCACUGCAUGGCCCCCCGGGUGUGGCACAGUGUCAGUGUCACUGCACACCUCCCUGGGGUGUCACACAGUGUCACCGUGGCUGCACAGCCCCACUCGUGUCACACGGAGCUGCUGCGCAGCCCUGCGGUGUUGCACAGCUUCACUGUUGCUCCCUGGAGUGUCACAUGGUGUCACUGUCACCGCGCAGUGCACAGGGUGUCACUGUCACUGUGGGGCCGCCGGGUGCCACGCAGCGUCACUGCAGCUCCCGUGGAUUGUCACACAGAGUCACCGUCAGUGCCUGGUGCUGGCUCUGUCACACAAUGGUAUGUCACUGCGUGGCCCGCGGGGUGUCACCCACUGUCACCGUCACUGCCGGCCCACAGUGUAUCACCCAGCGUCACUGUCACUGCGUGGCCCGCGGGGUGUCACCCACUGUCACCGUCACUGCGCAGCCCGGGGUGCCGCACACCGUCCCCGUGCGGGACACUCCGCAGUGCCACCCCCUGCACACGGCAUCGCUGCCACCCGCUUGUCACAUCGCGCCCCCUCCGUGUCACACCCCACCGGCCGUGGGACACCCCCGCCACAGCCCAGCCGCUCCCGCAGCCCAAAUCCCGGCCACUCCCACCCCAUGUCCCCCUGGGGGGACACGUCCCCGAGCCCUCUCCUCCAGCCACGCGGCCGUCACCUCCCAGCACUCACCGCUGGCGCUAAUUAGCUGCCGGUGUUGUCAGCCCUUAAUUGCCGCUCGCUGGGAGGGUGACGGGCCCCGCCGUGUCCGUAAUGAGCGGCAGCGUGACGGGGACAGGGACGGCGGAUGUGCCACCCACACCUCGGCCUCCCCCUGCCUGCGGCCGGGCUCCCCCCGCUGGGCAAGGGACAGUGCCAGCUGUUGGGCUGGGACACGCUGGCAUGUUGCUGGUCCCGGGGCCAGGGCAGCCGUGGCCAGCUAGGCAGCCCCUGGGACCACCAGCCAGCCGCAAAG